This 119-nucleotide ribosomal RNA is filed under the name Lepisosteus oculatus (spotted gar). The record is from RNAcentral. Lineage: Eukaryota; Metazoa; Chordata; Actinopteri; Semionotiformes; Lepisosteidae.
GCCAGCAGCCAUAUCACUCUGCAACUCACAACUGGCAGCCCACUGGAGCUCAGCAGGUGUGAGCCUGGUCAGUACCUGGAUGGGAGACCUCCUGGGAAAAACUAAGGCUGCUGCUGGAA